This 429-nucleotide ribosomal RNA is filed under the name Pseudomonadota bacterium. RNAcentral's name for it is "Proteobacteria bacterium partial 16S ribosomal RNA". It matches the Rfam family "Bacterial small subunit ribosomal RNA", at positions 355 to 776 of the family's 1533-position model. The record is from RNAcentral. Lineage: Bacteria; Pseudomonadati; Pseudomonadota.
UGGGGAAUAUUGGACAAUGGGCGAAAGCCUGAUCCAGCCAUGCCGCGUGUGUGAAGAAGGUCUUCGGAUUGUAAAGCACUUUAAGUUGGGAGGAAGGGCAGUAAGCGAAUACCUUGCUGUUUUGGCGUUACCGACAGAAUAAGCACCGGCUAACUCUGUGCCAGCAGCCGCGGUAAUACAGAGGGUGCAAGCGUUAAUCGGAAUUACUGGGCGUAAAGCGCGCGUAGGUGGUUCGUUAAGUUGAAUGUGAAAGCCCCGGGCUCAACCUGGGAACUGCAUCCAAAACUGGCGAGCUAGAGUAGGGCAGAGGGUGGUGGAAUUUCCUGUGUAGCGGUGAAAUGCGUAGAUAUAGGAAGGAACACCAGUGGCGAAGGCGACCACCUGGGCUCAUACUGACACUGAGGUGCGAAAGCGUGGGGAGCAAACAGG